UGGAAAUGGUGGUCGGGAAGCAGCCCCGCCCCUCAUGGAGGCGUGGCGUUCGCGCCCCACUGCCGGCUGCGUCUUCUCCCUCGCUGAAAGUCUGAAGGGAGCCGGCUUACGUUUCUGCUCCGCUUGCCUAGUGAGUCUUGAGCUGGCUUGAGGCAAUGCUGCACUUAACAGUAUAUUGUAAAGCUUGAAGUACUGUAUUACGUUGCCUGGCUGUUACUCCAGUGCUAGGAAAGUGGUUGGAAGGAUGAGGAAGACAAUGAACAAAAGGAGGCAUUUGGAAGGAUUUGUUUUACUUCAAAAACAAGAAUACUAAGCUUCCAUCCUGCUGCUUAAUCUGUUUCAAACCCAUUACAUGUAGUAUAAAGUGUUUGGGUACUUCGUUAAAUCCAACAGAAUAGAGAUGGUCUUAAAAGGAAUUUCCCUGCCCUAAAGCUCUAAGGGUGGCUAAAGAUAGGGUGUUACUACUGUAUUCUGCAGUUAUUGACCUAGAAAAUUUAAGAAAAGGUACAUAACUGACCACAGAAAUGGCCCAGCUUUACAGUUUUCAAAAGGCUUCUGUAUUAGGCAAUUUUCUUAACAGUUGCAAAAAAUGAGGGACGAAAUUUACCAUUUGAUGGGAGUCUUCUCAAACACGUGGUAUAAAUGAUCCUGGUCCAUUGAAAACUGGUUCAUCAAACAGCAGUUGUGCUGCUA
RNAcentral lists this long non-coding RNA (693 nucleotides) under Homo sapiens (human). Its description in RNAcentral is "HSALNT0313718". The record is from RNAcentral. Lineage: Eukaryota; Metazoa; Chordata; Mammalia; Primates; Hominidae.